Molecule: non-coding RNA, 1048 nt
Organism: Cyanistes caeruleus (blue tit)
Lineage: Eukaryota; Metazoa; Chordata; Aves; Passeriformes; Paridae
Source: RefSeq, a predicted model, not a curated record
UUAUUAGAAAAUACAUAUAACAAAAACAUGGAGGAGAUGUUUUCAGCCUGUUGUAACUUGGUGCUUGGUGUCCAUCUUUGGGGUUGUUUUUUUCUCAUCUUUUUAGUUCUAAGUCCUAGUUCUUAAAUGUAUUUGCAUAUUUUCUUCGACUUCAGUUCUGUAUGGUGCAGUGAUCUAAUCAAACAGCUCAGUGAACUCAGUGAGGCUUUUCUUGCUUUCUUUGUGUUAGUACUAGAAUGGGCAACAUCCUUUUAUGAGCUGCUGUAAAUAAUUAAAAUAGCAUAAACCUGUUGUGAUUUUCUACUGAGUUGUCAGAGCGGCCCACAGAAUGAGUCGGUGAACAUCUAAAUCUGCACAAGGAAACAAAGCAAUUUUCCCUGGUUUUAUCUGCUUGUCAGUCUAUGCGAGGCGUGCAGCUUCCUGAGAAUCUGUAGCUUGGACUGGGUUAUUGCAAUUGUGAGGAAGGUCAGAAAAUGCUGAGAUGAUGGGGCUGCACAUAUGAGUAACCUGAAUAAAAAUCUCUCAAAUUAUUUUAAAUAAAUAAAUUCCUACCACAUUAUUUAAUGGUGGCUGUAACUAAAGAGCUCAAACAAAUUUUGAUAAAUCAAGUAAGAAAAAUAAUGCGUUUAAUUAUUCAUGUUAAUAUAUGCUGGGAAAAUAAUUUAUCUUUCUUGUCAGAUUUCAGAUACACAAUGCAGAAGAGGUUUCCAUCAAUUCUGGAAGUUUAUUACAAAUCCAAUGAGUGGUCUGGAAUUCAUGGCAUAAGGGAGAAUGACCAGAUGACAUGGUUAAGCAGCAAGAACUGAACCCUCUGUGCCUGAACUGUUUCUUCUUUUUGAUGAUGCUUUUCACAUCCCUGUUGUGAAGCCACUUGUCACGCUCUAUUUCCCACUGGAUCUGUUUGACAUCUGUAGGAGGCAAGGUGAGAAAUAAGGAGCCGAUGGAUACCUCUGACCAUGAUACGGCAUACAGAUGAAUCAUGUAAAAGUUAAAACUUGACUACUGUAUUUAUAAAAGUUAAUAAAGUCCAGACUGCCUCGUUUUUUUU